This is a long non-coding RNA of Falco peregrinus (peregrine falcon), 26687 nucleotides long. RefSeq lists it as uncharacterized. Lineage: Eukaryota; Metazoa; Chordata; Aves; Falconiformes; Falconidae. The transcript is spliced from 4 exons. The record is from RefSeq and is a predicted model, not a curated record.
GUGUCGUGAGGGCGCGCCGCUCUGGGGCGGUGCCGCGGCGCGGCGGGGCCUGGCCGGGCUGGGCCGGGCUGCCCCUCCCCGGUCCGAGUGAAGGCUUGGGGCACGAGUUAACCGGCGUCCUCCCUCCCUGCGGCGACCUAUCGGUGCCUUUCGGGGACCCGCCGGUGCUUCCCAGCGCCUUGCCUCUGCUGGGGCCGGGGCUUGGUCCUGGGGGCCUCAGCCAUUAACAUUACCGAGAGGUUUCUGCCGCCGGUGCACGGCUUCGGGCCUCGUUCGGCGUUUGCCAUCUCAGGUUUAAAUAGAGCUGUAGGAGGGAGUACUUACAGAAUUUUGCUGUCACAUGUGAAGGAUUCCACUUGCAUUCAGCAGCUGCUGCAGUUUUACUGCCUCUUGUUGGAGAUCACCAAACCCACAGUAGAGCUGGCAUCUCCCCAUCUGUUUCAUGGCAAAGUAUGACUUCUUCAUUCAGACCCACCCGCACUGGUGUUUCAAGCUGAGAUGCUGAGUUUGCAUUCAGAGCAGCUGACAAAUGCAUGUCCUCUUCUGGAAGCCCUGCUAUAGCAGUGGUUACUUCUGUCGGAUGAGUAAAAACAAAUGGCCAGAGUCAACAGUAUCUUAUAGCGAGGUUUGAGACGUGUGUUAAAAUUUAAGCUGGAUUUUUAUAGGGAAAAAAAUACCUCUACUUUAAAUACUGGUUUAUAAUGCCCUCCCUAGGAUGUAUAAUGUACUGUUUCAGUUUCUGCUCUCACCCAGUUCUGUUCUUCAGUGCAUCUCCUUUCCCCAAACUGUCCUUUUUCAUACUGCUGGGUUUUUUGCGCUUCUCUGUCGUUGGCACCUGGGCAAAUUACGUAUUUCUUUUUGCCUAGGCAUGUUCUUUCUCUGUCAUGUGAGCUAGAUCACUCCAUUUCUGUCCUCAGCAUUCCUGGAUGAUGACAAGAAAGAGCCCAGAGUGUGGUAGGGCAUUUCUUCUCUCUUGCUCAAUUUAAAAAAAAUAAUUGCAAGUUCUGCUUAGCAGAGAGGGACUUUAUGGUGAUCUCACUAUUAGCCUCUUACCAAUCUAUGGCUUCGGAGUUUUCUAACACUAAAUGCUAUUAGGGCAGUAAAAAUGCCCUCUUAACUUCAGAUGGAUAUCCAGAAAAGUUCAAAUUUUUGCUCAAAAGCACUGGAGCGCUCUAAUUAAGCAUGUCUAGUAUUUCUUCUUUUGGCAAAAUAUUACACUUCUUGGAUCUUGUCUUCCUAGAUUGCACUCCCGUUGCUUUGACUUGAAGCAAGGACGUAAUGGUUAGUGAAAGCCCCGUACUUGCAUGAAGUGUUAAACGGGAACUUUAGAUAUCCUUUAUAAGAAAAAAAACUCUUCACAGUAGGAGGUAGGUAUAAUUAGCUGAUGGUGCCUGAAACAAUUACCUUGUCCUCCUCCUGUUAACAAACAUGCUCAACUUACUUUUCAAAAUGUGGCCUGAGUAAUUUAGGGCAACAAGAAAAAGGAGGGUUUUGUGGCUGAGGCACAAGAUUUGCAUUAUGCUUUAGAUUCUGGUGCUGGUCCAUUUUGCUAAUCCAUUAUGACUAAGUCUCAAGGACUUAGAUGAUUGCAUGCUUGGUUCUGCUGAUUGCCCACCCGGAACUACAGUCCAGAGCCGUGACUGAGGUUUGGGGUUAGGAAGGGGUCCUGGCAGGAGAGCCCUUAUUGCGUAUUACCUGAUAUUCUCAUCUGUCUCUCUCCAAGAUCUGCUUUAGCUCUGCUGCUUUCAAGUUCUACGGUGGUGGCUGAUAAAAGUUACUGUAGCACACUUGGUCAGCUGGGCCUAUUGCCCAGACCCGAGCGUACACCCUGUCAUUGCAGGUGUUACACAUGUGGCUGGGCCUAGAAGUUGGCCACCUUCACAGAAACUGCUUUUUUUGAAACCCCAGGCUUGAGAUUAAGCUGGAAGACACAAGCGUUUCCUUUGUCACCUUCAGGGAACCUAUGCCAAACAGGAAUUGAAUGAGGGGUAAUAAUUCUUUAACUGUAAAUCUUUGAAGUAUUUUGCAAUCCAGAUAAGAUGACUUACCUGAUGGACGAUGGACGUGUUACUUCCUUUCGUGUAAAUGUUAAUAGAACUACCAAAUGUGAAAAAGAGCAAAGUUUACACAGUACUUUUCACUACAGCAGUUGAUUAAUGUUAGACUACACAGAUAGGUGUUUUCUAAACAUAAGUUCUGCCAAAGUUAAAGAUCCUUUGUAACUUAAAGCUCUAAGUGGAUACAAGAAUUUUCUUUUGUGGCAGUGGUAUUAUGAUUUGUGAGUGCAAUUGGUUUUUAUUCUAGGCUGUCAUGGAAAUAAGGAAGUUAUUGAAAUGUGUUCAGACUUCAAUAAAUUUCCUUUUCUGUUGCCUAGGAAUCAUGACUUUUUGAUACAUGAUGGAUUGCACUAAACUGUUGGAAAUUCUACAAACCCAGCUUUAUAGUUAGCCACAGGAAACAUUUUUAAAUUGUACCCGAAAAGUGUUAAUAUUGAAGUUUGUUUUUUUUUUAAUUAUCACAGCUGAUAGUUGAUUUAAAAAAAAAAGUUUUGUAGUUCAGGAACUGCAUGAUCUUUUUCACAUCUCAGUGUUUUCCUUUUCUGUUUAGCUACAGAGCAAUGCCAUGUGCUAAAAUUGCAUUGUGAAAGCUAAAACCUUGGUGGCCUGUGCUAAAGAGAUAAGGAAGAACGUGUACCUUUUGAAGGGCGUGCUGGUUUCUUUAAACUGAGAGCCUAGCUGAUAACACUGUUUGCCUUUGGUAGCCUACUUAGCCCAGAUAGCCUUUUCAGUGCUAGAUAAUGUUUUGAGCAGAGCCAAUCCCAAAUUGAAUAAUUUGUUUAAUAAGAAAUAAAGAGGGAAAAAAAAACCCUACAUCAAGACAUUGCAGAGCUCUGUAUUUUGAAUCUUCUUGAAUAUGGGCAAAACCAGUUUUGCUUUCUUGUAUUUGGGGCUAUUUGAAGAAGAGUGUUUCUUCACUCACACGAAGAACUGUAUGUGUUUCCCUUACUGAACUUGUGAAGGAGCAGUCAUUUUGGCAGUGAAGGAAGUGUCAUUCUCAGGCAGUCGUGACAUGGGAGAGGUAAUGAUUAGAUACUUUAUAACAUGCCUGAAGCAAACAAAGCGAGAGGUUUGUGCGGUGGGAUUUUCUCCACUGCUAAGUGCAGGGUAUGUAUUGGAAAGUGGUCAUGCUGGUCUUGUGCUGCUGGCUCAGACUGGAGUGAGCUCUGGCACGAAGAGCUUCCUGGCAGAUCCCUGGCUGUUCGUUCGGGCUGUUUGGGACCCCUCAGUCACCGCCCCACUCUGCUGGCACAGAGGUUUGUGGCCAGUACGUGGCUGUGGAAUGUAAACACCAGCUUGUACAGUGCAACAUGGGUUGCCAUGCCCCAGCCCUCCACCUGCAAGCAGCUACCGGGCCAGUGGUUUUGAGCCACAGCCUGUUUUGAAGCAUUUCCUACUGUCAUUGUGGAGAUUCUGCAUGAUUUCUUUCUCUGUCACUGAGGAAAUCAGCUUUGAAGACAAAAUGGCAGCAGAGGGGUCUGAGCUUGGUCUUGUAUUUGGUGCAGAACAACCUGCGCCCCACCAAGGGGCUGGAGCACCCACUGCCUGCUUGUGCUGGUCAUGAACUGGAGCGUGCCAUGCAGCCAUGCCUAAGGACGAUUUCCAUACUGAACAUCAGUAUGUAUCACAACCAACCUGCCAGCAAAGGUGUCCAUAGGGAAUAAGCUGUGUCCUGUAUUUUUGACCCAGUUACCGUUUCUUUUCUGCAGUGGCUGGCAACCAGGCAGUGCUGUGACAGCCAGACUGUGCUGCAAGCGGGGUUACGCUGCUGGAGUCCUGCUGGGAUAUGCAACUGCUCCAUACGCCCAUGGUUGUAGUGGGCCAGAGGAGGUCCAUAUGCCCACAGCUGCAGUGGGCUGGAGGAAAUGUGCUCAGCACUUUUCACUCAAUCAACAAGAUCAAAGUCCUUAUGCCCUGUGUAGAUGACCUUCACAUAGGUGCUGGGGAUAAAGUUUGGCUCGGCUGUGGGGCCAGGAGUGAGUAUCUUGGCUAAAUACUGAUCUUAGGCUAGGGACACAGAAUUUGAAGCAGUCAAGUUAGCAAGUUAGAAUCAUAGAACAGUUUGGGUUGGAAGGGACCUUUAGAAGUCAUCUAGUCCAAUCCCCCUGCAAUAAGCAGGGACAUCUUCAACUAGAUCAGAUUGCUGAGGGCCCCAUCCAACCUGACCUUGAAUGCUUCCAGGCAUAGGGAAUCUACCAUCUCUUUGGGCAACCUGUUCCAGUGUUUCACGACCCUCAGUAUAAAAUUUCUUCCUUAUAUAUAACUUCCAUCUCAUCUGCUGAAUUUGGCCUGUUCCUGAACAAGGUAACAUGUUUCAGAUUACCAAAGCUGCUGAGUUUCUGUCCAUCAGCCGAACCAUUGCUUGGGAUUGAGCUGCUGUUGUGCCGCCAGUGGUGUGUGCUAGUCUGAAACCCUGAAGAAGGUGGGAGCUGUUUCAACUGCUCUGGAGUACCAGGCUGGGUCUGGGGGUCCGUGCCUGUCCUGUGGUGCGAGGGUCACGCAAUGAAGUAUUCAUAUACAUCCAUGUCUUCAACGUCUUUGAAAAUAUAUGCAAGCAAUAGGAAAGUGCACAGGCUGUUUCCUUCGCUGUCCUCCAUCAACAUAGCUACACUCUUGAUGAAGCCCUCCCAGUAGGAAUGAACAGAUGAUAUCCUCUGUUCCCAGUUUGGUCUGAGAGCCAGCCCACAGCGGCUCCCCUGGUUCUUCUGCCUUUCUUUAGUCCAGUGUUGUAGUAAUGGCACAAAGCCUUUCUCCCUGUUGUGAACAGAGGUUAUUGUAGCCAAGGCUGCUUUAUACACCAGCAUCUCAAGUAACUGGACAACCGGUUAGAAACAAUUACCUUCUCCAUCUCCAGGCUUUUCCCCUUAUGCCUUUCAGCUAGUUGCACCAAAAAAACCCUGCGUUUCCUAACAAAAGAGCCUUGUUCUCCACUGCUGUUUCAGCUGGGAUCGAGUGUCGGGUACGCCUGCCUGCUGCGUCCCCCGCAUCCCCCGCGAGCUCCCAGCUUGGGGUCUGCCCUGCCAGAGUCCGGGGUCAGAGAACUGAUGGGGAUCUUCUGUCUAGCUGCUAUCCCUGCCCUCGUGUGUCGCUGUGAACGGGAGCCAGAAGGAGGUGGCUAGAGGCAGCGGUACCGAGAUGCAACUCCCAGGCAUUACUACUGCUGCUAUUUAUAAUUUCCCCUGUCUGUGCCAUGUUGAUGCGACAAUAGGAUAGCUGUUUUGCUAGGCAAGCUGUAUUUUUUUUUUACCACUGAUACUUCUUGCUUUGUCAUUGUUUCCUUGCUUUAAUAGGAAGCCACCUUUGUAUUUUUUUUAUGAAACACCUCACUAAUUUCUAUAAAUAAGAAGGGCGAGGCACAUACUGGAGAAACUUAAAAUAUUUGCAGUGAAAACCAGUGAUACAUACCAGAGGUGUAUGGACUGGGAAUUGACCAUGACUCACCAUCACUCUGAAGAACCGUAUCCAGUGAUUGCAGCAUUUGCCACUUGAUGGCUUCUUCUUCAUGGGUUGCUGGUGGCCUGAUCUGGAGGGUGCUGGCCCCUUAUGCUGGGCUUCUACGGGAAUCUUCCUGUGCUUUAUCCGGGGCAUGGCAUCACUUUGCUGGACUCAGGUUGGGGAACUUGAUGUGCUGGAUGACAGAGCCUGCCAGGUAGGGCUGUCUAGUUAUUAGUUUCUCUGGCAGCAACAAGGAUUGAAACAUUUCAGUUUCAGUUUCAGUAAAAUCCGCUAACAAUCCAGAAGGGAACAAGAUCCUAUCUGCAGGAGCUUGCCCAGAGAGCUGAAUGGAGAGUUAUAGCCCUAUGACACCAUUUACAGAAGGUUGGCACAGGAGCUUUCUAGCUACUUAACACUCCCUGCAGUUUCAUGGGCUUUGCCACAGCAAUAUGCUCUCGCAGGUGGUGUAUGUCCUAACUGGUGUUUUGAAUUCAAAAUCUUAAGAAUAGAGGUGCAGACAGUGAGCCAGUGGGUAUUCCAAAGCGGACCAUCCGCUGAGAGCAAGGAGAGAGGGCAGCCCUUCCAAAAAAUGAUGUCGCUGGAAACACGCCUACCUUCAUACAAGGUCUGUUGCUGAGCAUGAAGUGUUCCAGCCCGGCACUCUGCCCAAAACCACUGUUUUCUCUUUUGAAAAGCAGAUCUAUAAAUUAUAGGUGGGCUUGCACCAGAAGCUGGGAUGUCAGAAAUUGCAUAUGUUUCUGGAAACAUCUGAUUCGUGUCCAAAAUCUGCUGCUAGUCUCUGCUCUGCUGUAUCUCAGGUUGAAUGUGUGAGCUGUGUGGCAUCUGGAGACCUCUCUUAUUUCACCUGUACAGCCUCAGCCUGAAUCUAACCCACGUUUAUUUAACAGGCUGAAUUUAAGCUGCCGGUUACAAGCCUACAUCCUGAGAGGUCCUUUCUCCUGGAAGCGGCAGAAUCCUCCCUUCAGCUCACCCCCCUGAAACAAUGGGGUGAAAAGUCACGUCUGCAGUAUGCAACUUAAAAAGGAGUGUAAGAAGGUUGUCUUUCCCAACUAUUUGUCUCCUGAUGUCUCACCAUGUAGGUGACCACAGCAAUUCAAAACAGCUUAUUUUAUGUGAAAAAGCUAAUUGCUCCUUCCUUGGGGUCUCCUUCAUGUUCCACUUUUUAGACAGUUAAUUGCCAUCCCCAUUCUGUGGCAACAAAUCAACGGCACACAGAUCUCAGAUCAGAGCCUUUACUGCUUCUCUGGCUUCCUCCCUGCUGCUUCACACCCUUCAGAGGUUUAAAAAGAAGUUAACAGCAGGACAGGGAAGCUUGUCCAGAACGACUGAUUUCCUUUUGCUGACCCUGAUGGGGUCGUGUCCUGUAACCCUUGUGGAGCAAGGGAGGAUGCCACUGCAUCUUUUAACUCACUUUAUUUUCCUGGCAGUGCUGCCCCUCUGUCCAGGGAGGGCUGAGCUGGGAUCCUGCCAUCGCCUGCUUGUGGCACAGGGUGAGGGAUGCUCUCCUGUGUUAAAAUGUGAAAAAUGAUGGCACUUGAGGAUAGCCUCACCUCUAAACCAUGCAGUGCCCUGGAGGAAGGUCCAAGAUCGCUCCCAGCUGGACAGGAAUAACUGAAUCAAAAUGCUUCAGCCUUUCCCACCAGCCCAGUGGUUCAUGUCACCAGGCAUGUCCGGCAGGCACAGCCCCCAUCUCUGCGGGCUGCCAGUGAUGCGCAGGGUGACGGGGCUGGGUGCAGGCAGAGGAGAGCUGGGCACGGCUGCUGCUGUGGCAGGUGAGGGGAGCACGGUGGCAGGGUUUCUGGCCUUUUGAGGGCUACCAACUGUAUGUCCCUUGUACCACACUGCUGGGGACAAGGUGUGCGGAAGCAAAGGCAGCCUGUCUCCUGGGUGCUGUGAGUGCUGGGGAUACAACAUGGUCACGCCUGUAUUCCCACUACCAUUGUAGUGGCUGGUGGCCAGUGACUAAAUAACCCCUGAGUCAAUUUUUAACUUUCCCAGCACACGAGUUCCUUUUUCAGCAAGAUGACGCGUCCCCCUGGGAGGCUCAGGCACUGAUGCAGCAGCCGUCUUGCUGGAUUUCCCCUCCUGCUGCUGAUGGAAACCACCACUUCCUUCCCCACCUCCCUUCUGGCCCCUUCCCUGCCCCGUUCCCUGGAACAGAUGGGCGCCUGCUGUCCUCCCCAGUGCCCCUCCAGCCCCUGGGAGAAACACCAGGUCCCCGUACCAUUUCCCCUUACCUUCCCCUGAUCCCCAGGGGAAGGAUGAUGGAAAAAGCUGUCCUGAGUGGUACAUGCUAAAUGCACUGAGGGGCCUCGGUGUGGCAUGAGGUCGGGGAAGAGGGUUUCAAGGCUCUUAACAGCACGUGGCCAUCACACCUGAGAAGCACUUGGGCACUGUCACUGUCGGUCCCACUCCAGGCAGAGGUGUCAGUUUAAUUGGCAGGCAUGCAGCUGCCCUCCGUCUCACUUAAAUGAGAUUUCUUGUUUUGUUGGGGAACAUGCCCGGCUGCUUUGAAAAGGAUGCUCGUGGUUUUCUGAGGGCAAAUAUGUUUCAUGUGCUCCAUUGAGAUAGAGUGGUGCUGCCUCUCGCAAGUGUGUGGGGGGUGAGCCCCAAUCAAUCAAUUAGCACUGAUUAACCAGAGGAAAGCUAGCUCAGGUAACCUAAUCCUGCUCCCUGAGUACCAGAGCAGAGAGUGAUUCAGAUCAUGGUGCACCUCUAUCAUGGCCUCAGACACAUGGGGUAAGCUGUUCCUGGCUGCUUUUAAGUAGGGAAUUAAGCUUGAAAGCAUCAGGGCUGGGCAGGGGCUGCCCUAGGGGAGAAAAGGAUGGGGAGCAGGGGUGGGAGGACAGGGUCAGGGUCAGGCAGUGGGAAAGGGUUGAUGAGGCAUGGUCACACCACAGGGAGCUGGCUCGCAGGGCUGCCUUUGGGAUGUACCUCAUUUCAGAGCUCCCUGGUUCUCAGAUGUUUGUACUUAAUUGCUGAAACCCAGGAAUUAAAGCGAUGUGAGCUGCACGGUGGCAGAGGCAGCACUGCAGCAGCCCCAGGUUUGCUUGGCUGUUUUCCAUUGCAGCAUUGCAAACAGACCCCGGAGGUGCCUGGCUGCAGCGCGGAAUCAUAGGGGCUCCUCUGGUCAGAGUCUCCAGCCCAGCUCCCAGCAAAUGGAGUUGCCUCUGCAGGUCUGGACCCAUCUGCUGAGAGGUCUCAUCAGAUCCACUUUGUGACAGACUAAGGGCUGGGGAUGCGGUUUUAUCCAGCAGGGAGCUCUGGUGUGUUUCGAGCAGUUGAAAUGGCUGGUGUGGCUGGUGGGAAGCUCCAACGGUGUGGGUGAAUGGGACCUGUGUGUACUCCUGAAGAGACUCGUGAAAGAACAUGGGCAAAGUCGCUGUCUGCCCAAACUGAGAGGCCUCUGAUGGCCACGUUUUUAUCCUUCACACCCUGAGGCUUGAGUGCAGCAGUGCAGCUCAGAGCUUGCAUGCGGGACGUGCAUUUGAGCCCUUCAAGUCCUUAGCCAAAGCUUUACCAUGCAAGGGAAAGGCAGAGCCAGAGCUUGCGAAAGUCUUUCCUGGAAUGGUGGGAUUUUAAGGUGGAUUCAGCAUUUGUGAGAUUGCGCCUGGAGGACUGUGUCCAGUGUUGGGGUCUUUGGGCCAAAAGGAGGACUGAUAGAUGGGAGCAUAUCCCAUGGAGACCACGGACAUGGUUCUGGAGCUGGAGAAUAGGAUGUAGCAGGAGAGGCUGCAAGAGCCAGGGAUGUCCAGGGUGGAGAUAAGAAGACCAAGCUGGCUACAGAUGCCUCCAAGGAGAGCACGGAGAAGGUGGUGCUUAGAGGUGCAUGGAGAAAAGAGAAGAGGCAAGAUGCAAACUAAUACAAGGAAAAAAAUCCUCAUUCAGAGGGUGGUCCAGCACUGGCAGGGGCUGCUCUGACAUGUGGUGUCAUCUCCAUCCUAGGAGAGAUUCAAGACUCAGCUGAGCAAGGCCCUGAGCAGCCUGGUCUGACUUUGAACUUGUCCCUGCUUUCAGUGGGGACAGAUGACCAGGUGACAGCCAGGGGUCUCUGAACUACUCAGUUUUGACAAGUCUUGGCUCUGCUGGGUGCUGAGUCCUCUGAACGUCACCACCCCCACAGAGGUUGUUAGUGCUUUGAUGGUUCCUCUGAGCUGGAGCUUGUGGAGAUCUCUUGCACUUCUUGGCCUGGCGGAGUGGGGACACAAGAAGAGAUUUCAAGGAGAAAUUCUGGUUUACCUCUCUGGUCAGAGCCAGACCAACUGUUUUGAUGUAAAGAGAUGGUCUGCAAUGGCCAGCGACUGCAAAAGGCUGAAUUGAAGCUGGCUUGCACUAGAGAUGGAGGAAGAAAGGCUGGAAGGGAACAGCCUGGUAUCUCUUCCGCAGUGCUUUGCUAACAGUACCGAAGUGCUUACUAUUUUUUUGUUGCGGUUCCAAGACUGGCAUUUUUAACACAAUAUUUUGUCACUUUAUUAUUAGCGGGAGCAAGACUUACAGCUGCUCUUGAACUCAAGAGAGAUUUUGAAGCCCUCCUACCUCCAGCAGAAGCCACCUGCACCUGGCACCUCAGCAGGUGCAGCCUGCAAUGGCCUCAUGCAGCCCUUCCUUCCCCAGCCUGCCAGGGGUGCGGGGCUGAGGCUGCUCGGGGAGAGCUGAGAACAGCACGGGCUGUUUGCUGCAGUAUUUUAAGCAGGAAGAGAUACCAGGCUAUGAUUAUCUUCCGUGUGGAUGUGAACAGAUGAAACGCAGUGUAAUUUAUGAUUCUUGUGUUCAAAUUGCAAGGCACCACGAGCUGCCAAGGUGGCUGAGGAUUGAGCGUCGGCAGCAGCCUGCAGGUUGGAUUGCAGCAGGCAUCAAAGUUUCAGGGAUGCUCAAGGGCAGGUUCCUCUUGUUCCUCAGAUCUGCAUGGCAUUUGGUGAGGUGUAUGUGGAGACGAAUGGCUUGCUUUCCCCCCGUUUUCAGUGGGAGAGUUUGCCCUGGGCUUCCCUGGGAGCAUCGUGGAGAGGUGUGGGUGGGGACUGAGAGCAGGUUAAAAGAACAGUCCUUGCAGUGCCUCGUGUGCCUCUGUCAGCCUAAUGAAAACCUAAUAAUUAGGACUGCCAUUCUCUUUAUCUUUAAUUACGAGGUAGCGCUUUAUUUUAGAGGGUAAAAGUAACCCUGUAAUUACCUCGUACAAUUACUCGGUUAUUAGCCAGUCUGUGACGCUGCAGACACCCAGGAGAGCCCUUGGCAGGCUGUCACAGGGCUAUGUGGGCUGCACAGGACCCCUGGCAAAACCGAUCCAUCCUCUUACCCAGACCACACGCAGAGCCCGCGGGGAUGAGGACAGUGUGAGGCUCCAGGCAGAAGCAGAUGGCCUCUGGCAGCGAGGCACAGCCCUCCAGGAGCCUUUGGCUCAGCUUCUGUGUGCUGCUGAGGCCUCACCAUCCCACGUUUAGCCCAACUGCUUUCACCCCCGGGCACUAUUCUUCCUCCGGGGCAGGAGGUGGCAUUGCCUCUGCCCAGGGAGUUGGCAGCCCUGCCUGCCUCGCUCGGAUCUGAAGCACCAAUGAGUUUACGUGGUCGCUACAGCGAGAGCCAAAGUGGGCUUCGCUGGGCAUGGGGGAGGAGAGCGGUGCGCUGGCACAGGGAGCGCCUCGGGGUCAACCUGGCUGCCCGGUGCCCUGCAGGCUCACAGCCACGCUUAAAACAUGCCGGAUGGGUUAGCUUUUCCUCCUGCUGACAAGCCCUGGACAGGUGGAAGCCCUUUUCUCAGCUUAGCCUCCAUCAGUGCCUGCUGCCUGUAGCCCCUGCCCUGCUGGGCUGUGGGGUGGUCUCUCAUCCUCACUGCCCCCCACCAGGUUUGCUCCUUUAGCUGAGCCAUUCCAGAGCCUGUCUGGUAUUUCAGCCCCUGAAGAAAUUAGUAACUGAUUUAUGUAACAUCUCCUGCGACUGCGGGGUCUUUGCAGAGAUGCAACGGCGAACGAGUACGCUACUGGCAGAAUAAGAAAAAGCUGCCAAAACCCUCCCCCAGGGUUAGCCAUGGGAGUCGUGUGGCCAGGCCAGGUGCCACCCCCGCUGUCCUGCAGCAGCACCCAUACCCCUGUGCUGCGACUGCGGCUCAGCUGUGCAGGCAAGGCCCCAGCAGCCACAUCAGCUCAUCCUUCCCAGUGCCUGAGCAAGUUCUGGAGCUUCUGGCCUCCCCUGCUUCCACAGGCGUGAGGCUGAGCCCUGUCCCAGCAGCACAGCGCUCAGCACCAAGGUGGCUUCUCACCCAGCACCCGUUCACGCUGGCAUCGCCUGCCAGCACCUCUCCUGCAGCCUCUGCCUGGGGGCACGAUGCCUAGCCGGCACAGAAGGCUGCACAUUGCCAGGCCAGCUCACAUUUUGGUGGGAGCCGGGGUGCUGCCAGCUCUUGCUCUCCUCCUGGCUCCCUGCCGAGGUCUCAGUGGCCAUCUCUCACCUCUGGUCAUCAGUGCUUGUGGUGGGGCGCGAAGGAUGGUCUCCCCAUACAGGGACACUGGAUCCUGCAGCACUUCCUGGCCCUCCUGGGGCUGAAGCUCUGAGCUUGGAUGGUCCGGGGGUUAUUUUGAGCAUGUGCAUGUCUGUGGGCCAGCGAUGGCAGACCUGAUGUCCCCAUGCAGGAACCGAAACCCACCAGUGCAGCAGCGGUAGGUUGGAAGGCUAAGCAGCAGUGCCAGCUCCCCUCUCAGCAGCUGUGAUUUAGUAGCAAAGUCUAAGUCGGAAAUAACAAAGAAAUGCUUGCAAAAUAAAAAUGCUUUUGAUGUGAAUAGAAAUGUUUAUAAUAAUCUGGAUUUUUUUCAUGUCGAUAAGGCUCAGAAAAUGUGUUUUGUCAAAGUGACAUGCAGCGAGCUCUAGUAGGUGUACCCAUUUCAGAAUAAAAGAAACAGAAGCCACUUACUUGAUGAACCUGAAAGCUUUCUUAGAAUUACAAAAAGGAAUAAAUUACCUUAAUCAUAUUAACUCCUAGGCGGUCGCCCAAAUCUUUGUGAGCAGUAUUCAUUGCAUCCCAAAUGGUGUAGUUUUAAGACAACUUCAGAUGAUCUCAUGAUCUCUUUUUCAGCGGUGUAAGCUAUUGCUAAUGGUUUGGGUUUAAUUCCAAUAUGAGCAUGUCCGGUUCAGUAACCCUCAGUGCAGCAACAUGGCCGCGGCUCUCGCCAGCGAUGGAGCGCCCCGUGGCACCAGCACGUCCCAGCAGCCUCCCCAGGCCUCCACCACGGCAUCAGCCCACGGAGCAUAUCCCCACCGGUGUCUUGGAGAGGGUCUGCUUAAAGCAGUUCUUGCCCAAAGCCGCAGCAGCUUAGCGUGGCAUCUGCCGAGCGGCUGCAAUCAGGACAUCAGCUGUUGAAGCUCCUGUAUGAUCAUGCUUAUAAAGAAUGAAAAAUGAUGUCUCAAUUGUACCUUUCCCUCCAGCACCGUGUUUUCAAUGGUGAUUUCUCAGGCUGUCUUUUGAUCUCAAGUGAGUGGGGCCACUAAAUCUUGCUGUACUUGGACUGGUUUAGCAGUUGUCACCAGUCUUCUUGAUUCAGGAAAUCAAAGCUCUUCGCCAAAGGACUUAUUCAAAUGCAAAAUUAAUUAGGCUUUUUUUAUCUUACUGCAGAUGUACUUCAGGAAUUUUGGAAUAUUAAGAACCCCCAGAGACUACUUUCUUCUCUCCAGUUACCAUGGUUUGUCUUGACAGGCAGCGAUACCCCCCUUUGCAGGCAGCUGCUGGCCAUGCCAUGAGCUUUGGGGAGCAAUGGGAGUGAGUGGGAACAGUCCCAUGUUGUUUCUGGAAGAGUCACCGGACUCUGGGCAGCACAAUAGGGUUGUGGUGGGUGAAGUGUUUUAAGAAAAAAGAUCACUGGGUAAUGGACACCGCAUUAACUCCCCGCUCUCCCUUUCCCAUCCCCUGUCCUCCAGCUGAGCUGGUAGGAGACAGCAAAUGCUGGAAACUGUAAAAUUCAGUUUAUUCACCCUGGAUCCUGGCCGUGUGCGAGGGAGAGAUUCUCAAGUGAAAAUGCACUGAGAAACACUGUGCCCAGCAACUACGAUCUACACGUGGUCCGAUACAACGUCGUGGUACCUCCCUACAGACCUCGCUUGGCUUCUGUCUCCAGCUCAUCACGGUCACAGCAGCACGCUACUAAAGCCAUAAUCUUGCGGCAAACGUUACGAGAUCUCAUCAGCGCGCUGUUUACCUUCAAGUAACAACGCAACGCGAGGACGAGGUAAACUCACAGAUGAAAACCCUUUAUUUGAAUUGUCUAUGAACAGAGUUUACCUUCCCCUCUCCUCGGGGGUGGGCGUGGGGAAAGACAGAGCGAUGUGCUGCUUUACUGUCUAACCUAGUUUCUUUUCAGGUAUAGAAAAAAAUGUAAACAUUUUUAGGCUCGAUAACUAUUUACAUCUUACACAGGAGCAGCGAGCGUGCAGGGCAGGGUUCAGCGCUGCAUCAUGACCUCUGCUUCACGCAGGAGUGGCUCCUGGAUGAGUCAGACCCGUUCAGGUCAUAGAUGCCCACAAAAAACACACCUUUGCUCCACGGGAUGGAAAGGCCGAGUACUGCACGUAGCCCUUGCAGGCUCAAGCUCUGCGUGCAGGCUGCGGUUUCCUAACGGGCUGUGACGAGAAAGGUGGCCCCGCGCUCUCCCAGUGUUGAUACUGGUGUCUCUGUGCCCUUGCGAUCAGGGACCCCAGCCAGCAGAGAAUAAAAAUUAGUUUUCAGCUGCAUCAGUUUUCUGAUUGUGAAACCGCAAUAGCCCAGUCCUCCUGGGGGAGGGACACAGCAGGGCUGCAAAUCAGGCUGCAUUAGCCAUGGUACUUUUGCUUUUCAGUUGUGACACGUGCUUUCUGCCUUGCUGAGCUUCCAGUCCAGUUCCUCUGAAAGGCAGCAGCACGACCCUGUACUGAUUUGAGAAACAGCUCAUUCCCCAUCGGGUACGGGGCACAGCACAGCAGCAGGACUGGCUUCUGGGACUGGAGUGACUCGCUCUGAUGGGCGGCUGCGCGCGGGCGACUGCGGCUCCUUCCCUUUGCUCUGCGGUGAAGAGGGGGUCAGCGUCCUGACGUGCACCACUCCCUGCACAUAGCAUCAGCUCGCUGCAGACAGCUUUGAAUUAAUGAUAAGAACAUGCCCAGGUCCCAUUUGCAGGUUCCCUGAAUGCUUUUUUCUGCUUGAAUACUUACUCGUGGCAGCUUUGCAUGUCAUUUUGCUUUAGCGUUCCGCUGGGUGUGUAUGACAGGUUGAAACAUCAAGGGUUUAUUAUCUGCACAGCUCCUCUGUUCUAUUCAGAGAUUAUGCUUUUGGCAAGAAAUAGCUUCUGGAGGCCCCGAGGUGUCUGUGGGCAGGGGGGUCACUGCGGGCAGGGUCUAUGGAGGGUGCAGCUGCCCCUCUCCGGCUACAUAAGCACAGAAGUGAGAGAAACCUGGAGGGUUCUGCAGCAGCUCCCUGCUGCUUUCCCUGCCGCUUGGCAGCGAGGGAACCGGUUAUAAAAACACUGGGGUUUGCAAUCUCCCUGCUCCUCAAGCCAUCGUCUCCAGCCAUGCAGAGGGUGCCCUUUCUGGGAGCUGCUCGCACGUGUCAGCUCGGCAGCGCUGCUGCAGCUGCCCGCUCCCCGGGACACAGGUUUUUAAGCAUAUGCAGCCUGGUGUUGGUGUUGGGGAAAAGGACAGUGGGCAAGGCCAUGUACGAGCACAAAGGGCUCGUACACAAAGGGGCAGCUCCUCCGCUUCCAGCCAUCAAAACCAGGGACUCACUUGCCCACCAGGGAGGGGCAUCUCCAGGGGAUCCAAUUCACCCUGCAUCUGUUACAGCGGCCAGUCAGUCACCUGAGUAAAGGGUCCCUUUCUUUUCUGUUGGCUUUAGAGGGGGGGCACAGGGAUUACUACCUGUAUCUGCACCCUGCACAUUGACGCCUGCUCCUGGAGGCAGGUGGAGGCAGCACUGCCACUCUGCCACCUCCAUCUACAGUACCUAGUCCAAAGGUGAGAUACUCUGGAGUUCAACACUUUGGCCCGUUUUAUGGCUUGGUGCUGAGGAAUACCAUCCAGGGGCCUUUCUGCUCAAAAUGCUCCAUUAGGCUGGAUGCAGCGUUGAAACUGGGGAGCCUGACAUCUUUCUUCUGCUACGUGACCUGGCACACCAGAUGCUUGCUGUCAUGAGACAGACAACGAUGCUGUCCUACAAGCUAGGCAAAAAGAACAAUUACAGGUACCUCUGGGCAGAAAACACAUGUGUUGCCACUCUACUAAGAGAGCUCGAGUUCAUUACUUACUACAGAAAAUGGAGUUUCAGCAUGGAUUGCCCAUAGCACUUACGUGCAGGCACCACGGCUUUAGUAUUUAGGUCUCCGGACAGUUCUCCACUGAGUUACCUAGCAGAUGGAGCUGCCAGGCAGUCACAGGCAGAGAUGUGAACUCCAGCAUCGCGUCCAGCCUCUGGAGGAAUCCUGCAGAUGCACCAGACAAUGGCUGAGAGCAUAAGCUCCCCCAGGGCAUGUGUUCUGUUUGCCUCUGUAGAGCCCAGCCCAGCAUUUGCUGCCAUUAUCAACAGCACAAACAUCUCCUAAGAGAUUUCCCUCUUCUCUCAGAUAAUUCUGCAUUUUCUGGCAAUUCUGAGAAGCAACAGACCCUUCUCUUGUUGCACCUUCCUCAGCUACAGAAGAGCCCAACGUCUACAAAGCAUCCUCAGGCUCUCCAUCAGAGAUGCAGCUAAAGGUGGGUGUCAGAUAAUUCCAAGCAGUAGCUCUUAAGUAACUACAAAUGGUUUUCCAUCAACGGCACAAACAUUUAUCAUUUUUUGCAAGGUAGAUUUUACUUCUUGCUGUAAUAUGCUAAUAACAUUGCAUUAGGGUAUCUGAUAGCUUCUCCAUCUGGGUUUUUUUCUUUCUUUUUUUUUUUUCUUUUUUUUUUUUUCAUUUUUAUCUUCAGCUGCAUAUGGUCUUAGCAUAAGGAGUUUAAGUCUAUGACACAACUGGAAGCCUUAGCACAUGCCACAUGAAAGACAAGACAUAAUUAAAGAGGAUCCAAUAUCACAAAAAAUAAAAUUACACUCCAUUCUGUAGGGCUAACAACUAAAAGAAAAAUGUAUCAUCAGAAUGUAACAGACAUUUCUUGAAUCAAGAAAGGGUCAUCUGACUCACCCCUCUUGGACAUCUUAUUUCCUCAUAAAAGAUACUUAAUUGAUUCUUUAAUUUGUCCCAGGAACCUUGUUAGGGAGAAUGUGACAUAGCUUUUGCUCAGUAUGUGGCAUUAAGUCUGCUCCAAAUUCAGCUUACAUUUCCUCAAAAAUAUCUGUGAUUUUCUGUAAGGUUUAAAUAACGUCUUGAAGUUUCUCGCUUGCAUAAUAAAUACUUUAAUCAAACAUUUCAAUUAACAGAUCUCUUAUAUGAAUUUAAGUCAAACCUGGCAGCCCUGCAGACUGAAUUCCAUGCUUUAGCCAGGGAGCAGGAGCAGGAGCAAGGCAAGCAGCCACUUUGAAUGUCUCUGCCAAUGUCUCAGCUGUGACCCUUAGGGACAGCUUUUAAGGACCGAGAAGAGUUUAGGCUUCCUCAUUAUCCUUCCAAGAAAAUGUAAUUUCCUGUUGUCACACCACAAAACCGAGAGAGCACCAGUGACAGAUGGUGUGACUGCAGAUGAGAAAGAGCUGGGCUGUUUGGUCAGCCUUUGACAGAUGAACUUUGUCAUCACCAGUCUGCACCGGACCCCUGUGGGGAAUCCAUCCAGCUCCCUGGGGGUUCAUCACUUGCGCAAUGCCUUCUCAAGCAGAGGAGGAGCUGACAGGCAGGUGAAGCAGGUUGGUCACAUCACCUUCCCAAGUUCAAAAGAACUUCUCAGGGAACCAUUUUGGAAUAUUGCAUCAGUGAUGAUGGGGAUGGCCAUAAAUAGAUGCUCUCCUGAUGGCUCAGAACCAGCUCUCCAUUUCACUGAUUGACUUGUCAUUCAUAUCAUCAGCCUUGGAUGGGAUUUUCGUGUUCCAAAGCUUUAAUGACCAUAAUGCGUUAACUGACUAAUCUGAAAAAAUUACUCGGGUGUCCACCGUAUCAGCCUGCGGGGAGGAGAUCUGCGUGGCUUUGUCUUUCAAGUUAUUUUGUUCGGUGUUUCAGAGAAGCGAGUCACAGGUGGGCAUUCAGCCCUCAGCGCGCUCCUAUGUUCAGCAACAGCUGCUAAACACACAGAGCCCGGUCAGGAUGCUCACGGGGCCAGGAGAGCAGCACGGCCUGAAAGGCAGGUGCAGCACAGGACAGAGACACCAAGCUCUUGAACUUCUUUGGGGAGGAAGAAAAUUCCCUUUCAUUUUGCAGCACAACACCGUGUAUGCAGUAUUACCAGAAGAAAGUGAACAAACAACUCAGUAGUUGGCUACCUUGUUUCAUCCGUUUGAUAGGGUAAAGGAAAUAAAGAAGUAUCUUGAAAUUCAGAGACAGAAAAUCCAUGGUUUUUUUCGUCUGAGUAAAGUUUCUUAAGAAACCUUACUGGCUGGAACCAGCACGGCAACUUCUUCUUUACUUCCCUUUGUUGUCAGUCCUAAGGUAUUCCUUGGAUAAAGGAGAAGGCGACUCAUGAAUCACCGUGGCUCUUUGGAGGUACGAGGCCCAUCCUGGUGAGGCUGCAAACUCAUCACAAACUGCAUGACGGUGAUCACUGAUAGCCACCCUCCCCCGCUGCACAUACAUUUUCUGCCACCACCAAUCGUCCAUCGAGGCAUCAGUUUUAGCCUUUGACUUGACUUUCAGGUGGUAUCCCUAAUUAAAUCCAUUUUGACUGAAAGGCACCUUGGAUCCAUCCUUUACAUUUCCAUGAGUCUGGCACAUGAGGUAAUGCCGAAAUAUUUAACAUGGGAUUUCUUCAGAGAUUUCUUCCCCAUUAUAACAUCACUUAUCCCACCAUAGACUCCCCACCGCAUCCCAACCAUCAGAGCUACUUCUUUCCCCUCCCUGAAAACCCACCAGUCCUUUCACUUUCUGCUUGCCUCAUUCCAUACCUCUUUCCCCAGCUGCUUAACAGCCCUGGGAAGCCCCAGGGCCUCCUUAGGCAGUUUGUCUGUCCCGGCUGACGGGAGCAGUGGUGGAAGGCAACGCAUUGCCUCUGCUCUGCCGCCGGGUGGGUGGCAGGCAGGCACGGCUGGGGAUUGUCCUUGGCUCAUACACACGGCAACUGGGAAUGUCAGGUCUGGUUCUGAUUUUGCUUUGCAAGCAUAUUCAAAACCUUGGGCCGGGUAUAUACGGCAGAUUCAAAAGCAAGUAAGGUUUAGUUCUGGUGCAUAUUAUAUCACUGUUCGAGUCACUGAGGCAAGAACUCCCUUCGCUGACCAACCCCUCGGGAUAAUCAUUCUGAGCUCCUGCAGUAAUGGAAAAGGAAAGACUGUUGAGUCUGUGAUGAUGUGCCCCAGGGCUCAUCAGGCACUGGCAGGUUUUUUAGUGAAGAAAAAGCAAAAUUAAUUAGGCACUUCCUUAGAACCCCUAUGUGUGCAGCAUUUGAUUAUUUGAUAUCUUUAAUGGUGAUGAUGAUGAUGUCAUUUUACAGGUUCCCCUAUGACCUUAAUUGCGACCUGAAUUUCUACUGGGGAUAACAGUACAACCAAACUCAAAUGUUAAUCAAAAUCUCAUCACAGUUUUGUAAGUAACACAGGCCUGACAUACGCUUAACAUACAAAUUCUUGAUUUAGAAAAAGGCAGGGAAAGAAGAAAAAAGAUACAAGUCAACUCUGCUUUCUCUGAAGGUCACAUUUAUGCAAUGAUCCCAUUUUGCAAAAGUCCAAACCAUUUUUCUAGGUCACGUUCUGUCUAAAAAUCCUCAUUUAUCAAGUCCACGUGUGAACAGCUUGCAAAACACCUCUCAGUCCUACAAAAUGGCAGGGUCCCACAAACGCGCUACUCUCAUCAUCCUCACCGAAACGCUGAGGGCUGGCUCGGAAGCUGGGUCGUGUAAUCUCCUAUGUGCUUUGAGGUUAGAGUCUUGCUGCCUCACUUCCCUAUCUCUCUCAACAUGUCUUCUCACUUCCUUUUGCUGUAGUCUUGUUGUUAGCCUUUCCUUUGCUCACCUCCCCAAAGUAUCUGUUCGCAUUCUUUGUAAAAUAAUUAUCUUCCAGAACACAUAAUGCCACAGACUUAUUUGUCUUCCAGAAUAUGUAAUGCCACAGACUUACCUUCCCUAAUGUUUAAAAGUAAGCUAUUUCUACAUCCUUAGCUGUGCAACCUUGUUUUGUUGGGAGUUCAGCUCACAAGGCGUUUCAAACCUGGUAACAUAGACUGGGAAAAGAUGGACAGCACACAACAUUUGCUGUGCAAAAGUUAGACUUCUUUAAUACUACGGAUGGGUAGCAGGAAGUAAAACCCAUCCUUGUGCCUUGGCAGGUCAGGAGUAAAGUUCAAGCUAUGCUAGAACUGCAGACUGGCCAUCAACCUGCUUCAUCCUGGAGGAUAUCCAAGCAACUGCCUCCCAUUCACAUUGCAGAUGUUCGCUGCUUUAGGUAAUAGACUUACAUGUCUGUUUUCCUGCUAUUAAAAGGGAAGCACUUCAGUAACUGAGUAAUGUUUGGUCUAGUCUAAGAGCCUGUCACCCCAUCAUGGCCAUUGCUCGUGGAUACACGGAAUGAUGAGAACACAGGAAUCCAUGAAUGGUCUGGAUUCACACUGAAAUGCCUUACGUCAUCCAGCUUGGGUGAAACCUCAGCUAUAAGUGUUAAAGAGAAAAUCUUUCUCUACUUUGAACAAAACUGUGAAACCAAGUACAGAAAUUCUGUCAGGUCUCAAAACACGCAUACAGAUGUUUUGGUGAAGUUUAGUGUUUUCUCUACAAAGCCUACAGCCCGUCACCUUUGGUCAUCCCAGGACACAUUAACCAACCGAGGCCACGGUACAUCCUUACCUUUAGUCAUAAAAAUUCUCCUUCAUGAAAUGCCACUUGCUGAAAAACCAGAGACAACCUCACUGACCUGGAAGGUUCUCCAGUUCCUUUUGGCAGUAGGUGCUCAAAUUCGAUAUGCUGAUGCUAAAUGGCUUAGCAUUAACAGCAAAAUAACUUAACUGCCUGCCCCAGAAGGUUAAACUAUAAGAAGCCUCUUAAAAAACGCUCAGUGCAAUGGAUGAGCACUAGGUUCUGUGGCACAAGGUUGGGGAUCAGCCUUCCUCUGUACUCGGCGUGUGGCUGUACAGCAGCAGGGAGCAUCAGUGCAGGUGAGAACGUUUGUAAGUAUUACCUUUGAAAUGUAAAGAAAUAAAAUUAUCAGGUUUAGAUGGAAAGAAAUAACCUGAUGGAAUUACAUUUGACAUUCAUCUACGAAUAAAGAUAUUCUACCAUGAUAAGGAUUUAUACUUAAGCAAUUCUUUCCCCUUUAAGGAACUUAAAAAAUUCAGCAGCUUGGGAAUUGGUGUUGCAGAUUCACACGUGUUGACAAGCUGUUAUGCCCGCCUUACAAGUCACCUGGGGUCCAUGGAUGCUUGCCAGCCUGCCCGGGAUGGUCUGCUGUGAUGGCAGCUCAGGUGUAUGGUAUUUAGGUUUUAUGUAGCUGGCACUAACGUACAGCAAUAAUGGCAUUGUGAAUGAAUGCUUCCAAUAUGCAGAUACCACUUUGCUCACCACAAAUACAUAGAUUCCUGACUAAACGCUCCAGCUUUAAAGCGCUGCAGCACAGUUUAUACAAUGGACUAGGAUUAAAAGCAAGUAGAAGAAAGAACAUGGAGCAAAAGAGAAACAGUGAGGAGUAACUCCUCCCACCAAAAUCAAUGUUUCUUGUCAGGCAAAAAAUGGCUGGUCAACAGAAAUAAAUUGCUAAGUUGCUUCAGGGAAGCACAUUUCUAGUUAGAAAAAAAACAACACAUAAAAAACAACCACCACCACCACCCCCCAAAAAAAGAAAGAAAAAAAGCAAAAGAAAGAAAGGUAGCCUGUGGUUAAAAAGACUUAUUUUCUCCAACUGUUUUCCAAGCCCUUUUAAAGACAAGCCCCAGACGUAAUCCAGGGCAUGACAUACUUAAAGUUCUGUCCUUGAAAUAUUUUCUUUUUGUCCUCUCCCUCCCAGUCAGGAGUUACAUGAAGUCAUGCAUCUGCAACAAAUUACAGCAUUCCAGAUCUGCAUCUAGCAGUUGAGUCUGGGGGCCCCGUACGUUUCAGCGUCCUUCAAGGCUCCUUUCAGCCACUACGAUCUGACAAUGUCUGGAUGUCUUGCCAGGGCUAAGCAUCCAUCUAAGGAGCUGUGUUAGAAGUAGUUUCCUUAAAAAAAAAAAAAAAAAAAAAUCUGCAGAACAGCUCUACCAGAAAGUUCUCCAAACAUGUCUAAAACUGCCCUGCUCACUGCAGGAACCUUAGAUGUUCCAAAAAUGUGGGUUCCUGAGGGGCCAAGCAAAACUGCACGGCUUGCACAGUGAACCUCCAAAGCCGUUAGAAACUCCUACUUCCAAGCCAUAAUUGUUGCUGUAUUUUGCCUAGGAACAGAAUCUGAAAUUGCUGUUUUAGAACUAGAGAGAAAAUGGCCAUUUGGUAUGUAGCAUGACUGACCUGGCUCUACCCCGCACGCGUUUCACUGCUGGUAACUGUUAUCCCACUGGAAAACCAGCAGAUGCAUCCCUCAUCUAAACCGUGGAGAUAAGGGAUGUGUAGCUGCAGCCACACCCCAUGGUCCAGUUCUCCCGCACCACCCAGUGCUAAGGAGUGACUGAUACACCUGAUGCCCCCGCUCAUCCGCAAAGCACUUCUACAGCUCUAGAACAGUUUAUUCUGCUUCAAGCACCCAUUUAGAGACUGCUGUGCCUUGCACCUGCUGAAGCUCCCCGUCAGCCUUGCUGAGGAGAGGGUAGAAAGUAAUCUGACCCACAACUCAAGAAAUUAAUAAUAAUGUGAAGUGCUGACUCCCAUAAAGCCACACCAGCCCAAGGCGGAUCUCCCAUCCCGAGACCAGACCAGGGCAGCAGCCUCAGCUUUUUUGUGUUUUCAGCUGGAAAGUGAGUUACACAGGACAAAGUCUUUGGAGCGCUUUCCUGUCACUCAUCUGCCAAAAGCAGAGCCUGAGGUGAGAGGGCCACAAUGCAAAGGACACUGAAUUGAGCUUCAUUUUCUGGAUUCACGUUGUGUCUCAUCAUUCAUGUUCCUGAAUUUUUUAAAAAGCAGGUAGUUGUUAUGGCAAUUAGCGCUCGGUGGGUUUAACUUUUUUGUUGUUGUUUCAGACUAGGCCACAAGAAGAUAGAAACAAAAAAAAAAAGGAGAAGAAUCCUGAAGGCAAAUGAUUUUGUUACAUAAAACAGCAGAAUAAAUGAGUCAAGCAUCCUUUAAGCUAACCUCAAGAGUGGAAAUGCAUGCCUGGGACUCGUAUCAACUAGCAGCCCCUACUACUACAGCUAAUGGGCAAUACUCUUUUUUUCUGAGGGUGGGGUAGGCAAAAGAAUUAUUUGCUAUUAUAGCUGCAACAUUAAUGCAAAGCCUUUGAAUACACCUCAAAGGCUACAGUAGUUGUUUAGAAUAGUUCUCGCUUUCCAUGGGUUCCUUACAUGAGUAUCGAGGCACCUUAAUGCCAAAUCCGUAGCAAGCAACUUCCCCGCUUCGAAACGGUACUUUGAGCAGCCCUUUUCAGAAAGGCUGGGGGUCCCUAUCUUCCAACAACUUUUAAGUGCACCUUGGAAGAAAAUAAAGCUACUUACCAUAAAGAAAAAAACCGAGAGAGAGUUGGGAAUAGAAGCCAAAUCUUGACUUCCAAUACAUUUUCUUAUCGAUAGGGCUGUCCUUCCUUCCCUCCUCCGCUCAGAACCUGGAAAUAUCAGCCUGCCCGCACCAUGCUGGGACGCGAGUUACUGGAAAUAAGGCAGCAGACCCAGUCACAAAGGUGGCUUACCAACAGAAGGCGCAGCAAAUUUAGCUACCUGCCUUCCAACAGGACCCGAAGCAAAAGGCAGGACAACAGGCAGGUGGUAACUGGGCUGUCAGAGGCCGCUUCUGCAGCAUUUUGAACUCACAUCUCUGAAGUUUCUGCACUGUUCCGGAAACCUUCCCCGUCAGGAGCACACGGCUGGAGGGGGAUGCUAGGCUGCCCUCAGCAACAGGUGCUUCGAUUUAAACACCCCCAACCUCUUGUGUUGUUUUGCCUGUUCAACCUGUGCUGUCUACUCGACAGUUUGCAAGCAUGAUGCAGUUCCCACAAAAACAUUCUGUAUCGCAGACGUGUGCCGUGCUCAUGCUGCACUGAAAGCUCCAAGAAUUCCAGGCCCCUGAAAGUCUUUUCUGCUCAAUGAAGCAGGAGGCUACCCUGCCACACUGGGUAUGCACCGCAUGGAAAGCAACGCUGCCACGUUUUAGCAGGGUUACUGAUGUCAGAACAGAGACCAAAAAUACACAAAAAUAUCCUUGUAAUAAAAGGAGGCUGAUCAUUCCGUACAGGAAAUUUUUUUCAUGAUCAAGUAGUGCAGAUGAGGAGUGGAAGACUGAAGGAAAUGAAGGCAGACUCAGAGGGUGAACCUUCUGUGAUAUUUAACAGAUCAGCUUAGGUACUGAAAUAAAAAGGUGGCUUCCUUAAAAAAACCAAACACCACCACACACACAAAAAAUUCAAGGACCUCCUAUGCAAAGAUACCUUCAUAUUUUGUGUUUAAAGGCACAAGAGUAAAAUAUUUCUUCUACUGUUCCACUGGUCCUCAUUUGAUUAUGUGCUUUUUAAUUUUCAGUGAUUACCUUGAUUUCUCCAGGUACAUGGAAUAAAUUUACAUGACCCUAUUAACUCAAAUCUUAAACAGUUGGAUUUAAAAAAAAAAAAACAAACCACAAGCAUUUCCAGGUCACGUUAUUUCACAUAGCUUACAUUUCAAUGUUUAGAGCAAAGUAGUUUACCAUGCAAAAGUUGAAAGUCAAAUCCUUCCAGUAAAGGAAGUAGGCAACAUCUUCAUUAAAGCUUUUCUAAGUGACACAACUCACAUUUGCUAUGGAAUAAGCUAUGGUCUUCCCUUUCUGAAAGUGGAUCCAACAUCCCCAAAGGAAUUUUUUAGUCAUGGUCUGCCAAUUUGCAACACUUCCAGACUGGAAUGCAGCCCUUUGUUUUGUACAUGUAUUUGAUUACUGCUUUUUCCUUUUGAAAAGUCCUUCUCGUAUUAAAGAAGUCACUGUUACUUUUUUUCAGUGGUAAUUGAGGGAUAUACUAAGGUCUCCCUUAGGAAGCCUCAUUAACCUUUGCCCUCCAUAUUCUUCCCGUUCUUAAUCAGAUUCUAAUUUUUAUUACCUAUUAUAAUGUAUUAUUACCUUUCCAUUCUAGGAAUAACUACUGUCCCUAACCGCUUUUUUUUUUUAGGAUUAAGAUCAUCCUACCCACCUUUUCUAUCAAUCCCAAUCCUUAAAUUCUGGGACAAAGGGCUCAGAUGCUUCUAGAAACGUAACAUAAUUUCACUCGGAAUGUGAUGUAUUUUAACCUUUUAAUACUGAAUUUCUGAAAAUUCAGACCUGUAACUUAAGUCCACUGCACACGCAAAAAGGUAAGGCAAUGGAGUUCAUGUUCAGUGACUCGAUCCAUCUUACUGUUCCAGGUAUCAGAUUAACCUGGUGACACCCAGGAUAACUUUUAUGCCCAAAUAAACAGUAUCUAAACCCAGAAAAUACUUGCACUGUGCUUAAAGGUGCAGCUCAAUCAGGAAAAAGGCCACUCAAGCUUCCCUCAUGUUAACUACAUAAAUAUAAGAAUAUUUCAAUACAGUUCAAUUAUUUUCCGAGAGUCUCUGUUCUUGACAGAGAUGCGAUACUGUUUGGAAGCAAGUCUCAGUUUCCCUGUGAUUAUUUCAGUUUCAAACCACAUACCUACAAGUGCCAGAGUCGUUCUGUGGAUACCACCAGUGCAGACCUCACUAGGCAUGAGGAAAGGAAGAGCAUCGUUACUCUGGGGAGCCUUUCCACAAACCCAGAUGCGGUCUGUGAACCCCCUGAACUCUAAAACGCCUGCUCAGUUCUCUUUUACAGAGCCAAAAGCAGCAAGCCUGGGGUUUCCAUGCAAGUCUGCUCUUCGAGAACUUCAUAUGCCUUUUGCCAUAAGUGUGGGGACCGUAUGUUUGUUAAGGUAUCUCCAGUGGUCCAGCCGGACAGUCAGAAAGCUGCAGGCAUCUAAAAGUUGUAAACUAAUUAAUUAGAGCAAUCUUAACAGAUACGAAGUAUUAAAUCUUGACUUCCCUGAAAUUAACUAAAUGCCUAAAUGUGUAAUAAUAUUUUCCGUAAUAAAAAUACUUCCCUGUUGAAUUUGAGUAUAACACUGCUAUUCCUCUAAAAGAUGUGGGAAGACAGAUGACAUGAAAUCUACACCAAAGGUAGUUGAAAACUCCAUUCAUAAAACUUUUAUUCCACUUACAUCAACUUAAUACACAUGUUCUGAACAGUUAUGCUUGGAUUGUUCAUGAAAAUUUCAUAAGACAUUAAACAAAGCUAGCCAUCAUCUCAAGUUAUUUCCCUGUUAACUAUUUUUACAGCACAUGCAUGUUAGGCAAGUAUCAAAAAAAAAUAAUCACAAAAGCAAAAAACCUAAAAAAGUUAAAUACAUGGGUUUUUGUUUUACUGCUGUGCUCGAUAUACAGUGUCAUUAUGGAUAUCAAGCGAUUCAUUUUUUACUGCAUCUUUACUUGUACAUUUGUUCUUAGGUUGCUUAAACCAUUUAAAUACAAAUAAAAUGUGUAGCAAAAAUAAUGAAAGCAACAGCAGGUAACUUUACAAAUAAUGGAAUGUGAACCGUUUCUCUGUCCUUCUCUAGAGAAAAUUGCCUGGGUUAUCAAACUGUCUUAAGGAACACUUCAGCUGCAAUCAAAGAUGUACACUUGAUCGGUAUAUUCCAAAGAUUUCACAUGUUGACUUGACAUGCAAUAUCUAUAGGACAUCAGUUUAUUCACAGCCAUGCGUGCUCCAGCUUGAAUACUCAUGCUAACUACACCUGUGGCUGCAACUGAUUAUCCCUUUUUUCCAUCAUGACAGACCAAUAUGCAAGCAGUCAUCUUUGCUUGACAUAGAAAGCUGUUUUAACACUGGCCUUGUGGGAAGCCACAAUGUACCAAAAGUACUAUGCCAAACAUGUAAAACUUGUAUAAAAAUUUCACAACCCUAUAUUGGCCACCUCAGAUGAAAACAGGUAAAUUCCCCAAAUGUUAACUGGCUCUAUUCCCCUAAUAUUAAACAAAACCACAUGGGAAAUAUAGAAAUCCAAAUAGAAGUAACAUAAACCUGUCAAAUCGUAAACAAAAACUA